RNAcentral lists this ribosomal RNA (140 nucleotides) under uncultured bacterium. Its description in RNAcentral is "partial 16S ribosomal RNA". It matches the Rfam family "Bacterial small subunit ribosomal RNA", at positions 374 to 507 of the family's 1533-position model. The record is from RNAcentral.
GGCGAAGCCUGAUCCAGCCAUGCCGCGUGUGUGAAGAAGGUCUUCGGAUUGUAAAGCACUUUAAGUUGGGAGGAAGGGCAGUUACCUAAUACGUGAUUGUUUUGACGUUACCGACAGAAUAAGCACCGGCUAACUCUGUG